RNAcentral lists this long non-coding RNA (330 nucleotides) under Lathyrus oleraceus (garden pea). RNAcentral describes it as "Pisum sativum (pea) long non-coding RNA (PSAT_LNC037867)". The record is from RNAcentral. Lineage: Eukaryota; Viridiplantae; Streptophyta; Magnoliopsida; Fabales; Fabaceae.
ACCACAAGUUCGUCGUCGUCAUCGCCAUCGGUAAUCACCUUUCUUCCAAUCCCUUUUAAAUAUACUUGUUUUCUUUGUUGUUGUUGAUUGAUUCGGAGUCAUGCUUUUUUGUUGUUAUUGUUUGAGUUUGUGCUUUGAGUUUUCUUAAAUGUUAUUUAGUUGUUGUGAAUAUUUGAGUCGGUAUUAUCGAAUGAGCAAGAUGAACGGGGUAAGGUUUCAUUGUUCCUAUCUUCUUUGUUUUGUUUAUGAGCAUGGUGAUUGAGAGAGGAAGAUUGGGUCAUGUGAGAUAGAGUAAUAUUGAGAAAAAUAGCCAUGAGAAAGAGCAUAUUU